UUAGAUCAUGUGUGUGAACCAC
RNAcentral lists this non-coding RNA (22 nucleotides) under Arabidopsis thaliana (thale cress). The record is from RNAcentral. Lineage: Eukaryota; Viridiplantae; Streptophyta; Magnoliopsida; Brassicales; Brassicaceae.